This 502-nucleotide ribosomal RNA is filed under the name uncultured bacterium. RNAcentral describes it as "partial 16S ribosomal RNA". It matches the Rfam family "Bacterial small subunit ribosomal RNA", at positions 28 to 523 of the family's 1533-position model. The record is from RNAcentral.
AUUGAACGCUGGCGGCAUGCUUUACACAUGCAAGUCGAGCGGCAGCGCGGGGGCAACCCUGGCGGCGAGCGGCGGACGGGUGAGUAAUGCAUCGGAACGUAUCCCGUAGUGGGGGACAACCCAGCGAAAGCUGGGCUAAUACCGCAUAUGCUCUACGGAGGAAAGUGGGGGACCUGCAAGGGCCUCACGCUAUGGGAGCAGCCGAUGUCCGAUUAGCUAGUUGGUGGGGUAAAGGCUUACCAAGGCGACGAUCGGUAGCUGGUCUGAGAGGAUGAGCAGCCACACUGGGAGUGAGACACGGCUCAGACUCCUACGGGAGGCAGCAGUGGGGAAUUUUGGACAAUGGGGGCAACCCUGAUCCAGCCAUGCCGCGUGCGGGAAGAAGGCCUUCGGGUUGUAAACCGCUUUUGGUCGGGAAGAAAGGGUUCACCUUAAUACGGUGGUCUGUUGACGGUACCGGCAGAAUAAGCACCGGCUAACUACGUGCCAGCCGCCGCCGUAA